AAUCAAUGAAAUGCGAAUGAAAUAAUUUUUAAAGUUUCUUUCGUUUCAUGAACGUUUUUUGAGUAUCAUUUCAAAUCAAUUUCAUAAGGAAUCGCUAUAUUAUAGUACAUCGACGCGCGACAACGUCGUCCAUCUGGUGGUGAUGCACUGUACUAUUGGUACUGGCUCUGAACACGAGCAUAGAAAGAGAAAAAGAGAGAAAGAGAGACACAGGUACGAGACGAGCUUGUGGUGUGAGGUAGUCGUAGCCACCAGUCAACAGCGGAGACGGAGACGGAGAGUCCGAGGUAGCCCGUGCCUGUAGCUGCCCGUGGCUCGUUGUAACUCGUUGUAACGUGACGCGAAGGUGUGCCAAGCUCUUUCGGUUGCCUGUUACUUCGUCCGAAGACGCCCGAUUGCACAUCUACCAUAGUGUCGCAUAUCGAAAGUGUCGAUAGUAGUGUUGUGUGAUCUAUCGGCCUAUCUAUCCUCGUGUGCUAGCCGAAAAAACUGUACCAGCCGAGUUAUAUAUCAUUGUGGAAAACUGUCAAGAUUGUCGUGUCCCAGACGCUGCCUUUCAACCCGAAUGCUUUAGACAAUCCUCGUUGCGGUUGUCGAGUUGCACGAAACAUAAGGCACACAAGCAUCAAUCUGACAAAUGUUUGAACUUACUAUGAUCGAUAGACAUCCAGAUCGGAUG
Apis dorsata (giant honeybee) is the source of this 679-nucleotide long non-coding RNA. RefSeq lists it as uncharacterized. Lineage: Eukaryota; Metazoa; Arthropoda; Insecta; Hymenoptera; Apidae. The transcript is spliced from 2 exons. The record is from RefSeq and is a predicted model, not a curated record.